Molecule: long non-coding RNA, 291 nt
Filed under: Dasypus novemcinctus (nine-banded armadillo)
Lineage: Eukaryota; Metazoa; Chordata; Mammalia; Cingulata; Dasypodidae
Description: lncRNA (ENSDNOG00000052737.1)
Source: RNAcentral
CUCUAGUUUAUCUUCUAUUCCAUCCUACCAGGUGCAACGAAAGACAAGUCGGAGUUUGCAGAUGACAGCGUUUCACUCAGGACGCCAAGAGUUGUGCUGCCUCAAGGAAACGCCAUCACUUGCACAAAACAGAAGUAGCUUCGAUCUUCUAGGGAUGGCAACCCACUUUUUUAAAGCCUACCAGGCGCGGGACAAGUGCCGGGCACUUGCAGACGUGGGCUGCGGUACCGGAAGAUGUUAGCUCUGCGGGGCAGGCACAAGACAGGCUUGUGGACACACGCCAUGCCCCCG